UACGUAGGGGGCAAGCGUUGUCCGGAAUUAUUGGGCGUAAAGAGCGCGUAGGCGGCCGUUCACGUCGGGUGUGAAAGCUCGGGGCUCAACCCUGAGAGGUCAUUCGAUACGGAUCGGCUAGAGGCAGGUAGGGGAAAGUGGAAUUCCUGGUGUAGCGGUGAAAUGCGCAGAUAUCAGGAGGAACACCAGUGGCGAAGGCGAGUCCCUGGACAAUUCCUGACGCUCAGGCACGAAAGCUAGGGGAGCAAACAGG
Molecule: ribosomal RNA, 253 nt
Filed under: uncultured bacterium
Lineage: Bacteria
Description: partial 16S ribosomal RNA
Rfam family: Bacterial small subunit ribosomal RNA
Source: RNAcentral